AGAACCUGGGCAUCCUCACCGGGCCGCAGCUCUUCUCCCUCAACAAGGAGGAGCUGAAGAAGGUGUGCGGCGAGGAGGGCGUCCGCGUGUACAGCCAGCUCACCGUGCAGAAGGCCUUCCUGGAGGGUGGGCUGGAGCUCCAGGCUGGCGGGGCUGAUCCCCGCACAUACGCAGGGUUCUGCUCCCUGAGGGGGGCCUGGGAGGGGCUCCAGCAGGAGGCCAUGGCUGCCAUUCAGGGGAAAGUUGGGGGACGACACACACUUGACCUGCAAGGGCCAACGACGCAGGGGACACCGUGCCGGCUUCAGACACUCCCAGAGCCCACCCUCACAGGCACAGGACUGGAGCUUUCUCCAGCCAAGUUUCAGGCCACUGAUCCUCGCAUGGUGUUGGGGGUGCUGGUGUGUUUUGGUGCCUGGACUUGGGUCUCACCCUACAGAUAAGAGGUGGCUGAGGCAUCAGGGCUAAGCAAUUAAACCAGUUAAGUCUCC
Molecule: small RNA, 491 nt
Filed under: Pongo abelii (Sumatran orangutan)
Lineage: Eukaryota; Metazoa; Chordata; Mammalia; Primates; Hominidae
Description: processed transcript
Source: RNAcentral